Molecule: ribosomal RNA, 2883 nt
Filed under: Triticum aestivum (bread wheat)
Lineage: Eukaryota; Viridiplantae; Streptophyta; Magnoliopsida; Poales; Poaceae
Description: partial small subunit ribosomal RNA
Source: RNAcentral
UCCAAAAGCCUAAGGUUGUCAAGAGAUGAGGUGAGCCCCUCUUUGGCUGCGUUACAACAAUUGAGGUAUCUUGAUCUGAGUGGGAAUGACUUCAAUGGCACCAGCAUACCUGUGUUUGUGGGCUCUCUGGAGAAACUAAGGUAUCUCAACCUCUCUUCUUCAUGUUUCGGUGGGAGAAUACCUUCCCAACUCGGUAAUCUCUCAAAUUUGCAAUAUCUUGAUGUUGGUGGGAAUUAUUUCUUCUGUGAUGAUGAGGGUAAUCAACAUGAGCCGUACACUCUGGAUUUUACAUGGUUGGCACGUCUCUCAUUGUUGAGCCAUCUUGACUUGAGUGGAGUGGACCUCAGUCCUUUUCAGGACUAGGUUCACAUGGUUAACAUGCUUUCUUAUCUGAAAGUGCUUCGCUUAGUAUAUUGUAGGCUUACCAGCACAGUGUCUGCUACUUUAAAAUCAAAUCUCACACAUCUCCAAGUCCUUGAUCUAUCAGAAAACUCGUUUAACUCAUCAUUAGAGCAAAGUUGGUUUUGGGAUGUCACAAGUCUUAAGGAGCUGCACCUAUCCGAUUGCUACUGGCAUGGAUCUAUUCCUGGAGAACUGGGAAACAUGACAUCCCUUCAAGUAACAGAUUUUAGUGGCAAUAAUGAUCUUGUGGGUUUGAUACCGCGCAACUUAGAAAAUUUGUGCAAUCUGAAAGUGUUGAAUUUUGAUGAAAUCAACAUUAAUGCAAGCAUAGGGGAAUUAAUGGAUCGAUUGCCAAGUUGCUCAUGGAGUACAAUACAAGUAUUGUCAAUGCGUGACACAAAUUUGACCGGAAAACUACCAAUAUGGAUCGGGAACAUGACUAGUCUCAGUGUUCUUGACGCCAAUGGUAACAUGAUAACUGGUACUAUACCACUUGGAGUUGGAUCACUUGGUAACUUGACAGUGUUGGAUCUCUGCUACAAUAAACUCUAUGGUGUGCUUGUGAAGGAGCAUUUUUCAGGCUUACUGAAUUUAGAGUUUCUGGACUUGUCACACAACUUCUUGGAUAUUUUAUUACGCAAAAUCCAUUUUGCUGCUUUACAACAGUUGAGGUAUCUUGAUCUGAGUGGGAAUUACUUUAGUGGUGCAAGCAUGCCAUUGUCCGUGGGCACUCUGGAGAACCUAAGGUAUCUCAACCUCUCGUUGUCAGGUUUCGGUGGGAGAAUACCUUCCCAACUCGUUGGAGCACUAGGUAACUUGACAGAGUUGGAUCUCAGCUACAAUAAACUAAAUGGUGUGCUCAUGAAGGAGCAUUUUUCAGGCUUACUAAAUUUAGAGUAUCUGGACUUGUCAUACAACUCCUUGAAAAUGGAUAUUGAACCAAAUUUUGUUCCUCCGUUUAAACUGAAGUACAUAGAUUUACAGUCAUGCCUAGUGGGGCCCCAUUUUCCAGAUUGGCUUGGAUGGCAGACCGACAUUGAUACUCUUGGUCUUGCAAAUACAAGUUUGGAUGAUGUUAUUCCUGAUUGGUUUUGGGUGACAUUUUCCCGGGCUUCAGUCUUGGAUGCCUCAGGAAACAUACUACGUGGUUCAUUACCGGCAGAUCUACAACACAUGUCAGCAGAUUUUAUACUUCUGGGAUCCAAUAAGCUCUCAGGUCAAGUUCCACGGCUACCUAUAAAUAUAUCAAUCUUGGUUCUGUCCUCAAACACUUUCUCAGGGUCAUUGCCAUCAGAGCUAAAAGCCCCACUGCUUCAGGCAUUGCUUCUGCAAAAUAAUCAAAUUGCAGGCACCAUUCCAUCAUCUAUGUGCCAAUUGACUGGUCUGAAGCGGAUGGACCUAUCAAGAAAUAAUUUAACAGGAGAUGUUAUGCAGUGUUGGAAGGAGUCAGGCUUAAACUCUGCAGAACAAUUUGGUUCUGUCAUGCUUAGUCUAUCCUUGAGCAACAAUAAUCUCUCAGGUGAAUUCCCUAAAUUUCUUCGGAGUGCCUCACAAUUGAAGUUCCUUGAUCUUUCAUACAAUAGCUUCUUUGGAACAUUGCCAAGGUGGUUAGAAGAGAAAAUGCCACAGUUGCAAAUCUUGAGGGUGAGAUCAAACAAGUUUAGUGGCCAUAUUCCUAAGAACCUUACUUGCCUUGAAAAUCUUCAUUAUUUGGACUUGGCCCAUAAUAAUAUAUCAGGAACCAUACCAUGGUCGUUAUCAAACUUGAAAGCAAUGAGGGUCAUAAGUCGUAAUACGGUGUCCGUUAAUUUGGAGGAGAGUAUAUCAAUAAUCACAAAAGGCCAAACACGUGACUACACCUUUGAAGUCUACAACCUAGUGGUGAAUCUUGAUCUGUCAUGUAACAAUUUAACAGGACAGAUUCCUGAUGAGAUAAGUUUGCUGAUUGGGCUCACCAGCCUAAACUUAUCAAGUAAUCAGCUGACCGGAAGGAUCCCUAAUCAAAUUGGUGAUCUAAAGCAGUUGGAGUCCGUGGACCUAUCCUACAACGAGUUCUCUGGUGAAAUCCCGCCAGGCUUGUCGGCUCUAACCUAUCUGAGCCACUUGAACCUAUCAUACAACAACUUAUCAGGCGCGAUACCAUCUGGCCCGCAGCUGGAGGCUCUUGACAACCAGAUCGGCAUCUACAUCGGCAACCCCGGUCUUUGUGGCUACCCUCUGUCCAAGAACUGCUCUACUAGUACUACUGAUGCAGAGCAAAGUGUCAACCUUGAAGAAGCAGAUGAUAUCGCGUAUCUCUACCUUGGGAUGGGCAUAGGAUUUUUGCUUGGCCUUUGGGUGGUGUUUUGCACCAUGUUACUGGGGAGAACCUGGGCGAUUGCUUACUUUCAGAUCAUUGACAAACUUUAUGAUGAUGCUUAUCUAUGGGUGGCUAUUACUUGGGCUCACCUGAUGAAGAACCACGACGACGACGCGGCGUGA